GCUUUCGGUGUCGGGCAUUGUGGGAAGGCAGGAUGGGCGGCGGGGAGCGCACCUGGCACUGAGGGGGGAGGGAGCCGGGGCGAGCCGCCCGGAGCAGGGACCAUGAUACACUUUAUACUGCUGUUCAGCCGACAAGGGAAAUUAAGACUUCAGAAGUGGUACAUAACGUUACCUGACAAAGAGAGGAAAAAGAUCACCCGGGAAAUUGUUCAGAUUAUUCUGGCUCGCAGUCAAAAGAUGAGCAGUUUUGUCGACUGGAAAGACCUAAAGCUAGUUUACAAAAGGUAUGCUAGUUUAUAUUUUUGCUGUGCAACAGAAGACCAGGAUAAUGAGCUGCUGACACUGGAGGUUGUUCAUCGUUAUGUAGAACUACUGGACAGGUAUUUUGGAAAUGUGUGCGAGCUGGAUAUUAUCUUUAAUUUUGAAAAGGCUUAUUUUAUUCUUGAUGAGUUUAUAAUGGGUGGAGAAAUACAAGAAACAUCAAAGAAAUCAGCAGUGAAAGCCAUAGAAGAUUCUGAUAUGUUACAAGAGACAAUGGAGGAAUAUAUGAACAAACCUGCAUUUUAACUUUAAAACCUUCUGGAGGGACAGAGAUGCUGCUUACUAUCUGUAAAAUUCACUUGUUGAAAUUGCUUUUCUAUGUGCCAGAUCCUCUGAGAAAUACCAAAAACCAAUAACUAAAGGGAUUUGUGUAGUAGUCAAAAUGAAGGUCAGCUCCAGUAGUGUAUAUUGUUCUACCUAGGAGUUUCUUAAAACUGUUAUUACACUUAAUCUAGCCACUAUCCUCCUCCUAGACUUAAAAACUAGUUUUAUACAAUGGCUUUUAGCUAUGAACUUUUCAGUCGCAGAAAAUAUUUGCAAAAGAUAUUUAUACUAGUUUUGAUCCAUCACUGAUUGCAUCAGUAUACUUUUGUAAUAGUAUAUUUUUUGAAUGUAAUGAUUAUUCUGGUCUAAUACUAAUAAUUUUUCUUAAAAGCUGAGUUGUUUUUUUUAUGGAGUCUGCUUUGAAGACGUGUUAACACUUAAAAUGCAUAUGCAUCUCUUCAGCUCACCCUCUCCUGCCACUUCCUAGUAGGAGUACUAUCUUCCUUCUACCACCGGCUCUUCCACCCAAUAAAAGGAGAGCACUUCCACCCCCUAAGCACACCACCUCCACUUAGUACUAGAAGCCCACAUUCCUAGUCUAAGCCCUGGUCUACACUAGGACUUUAGGUCGAAUUUAGCAGCAUGAAAUCGAUGUAAACCUGCACCCGUCCACAUGAUGAAGCCCUUUAUUUCGACUUAAAGGGCUCUUAAAAUCGAUUUCCUUACUCUACCCCUGGCAAGUGGAUUAGCGCUUAAAUCGGCCUUGCCGGCUCGAAUUUGGAGUACUGUGGACACAAUUUGACGGUAUUGGCCUCCGGGAGCUAUCGCAGAGUGCUCCAUUUUGACCGCUCUGGACAGCACUCUCAACUCAGAUGCACUGCCCAGGUAGACAGGAAAAGAACCGUGAACUUUUGAAUCUCAUUUCCUGAUUGGCCAGCGUGGCAAGCUGCGGGUGACCAUGCAGAGCUCAUCAGCAGAGGUGACCAUGCAGAGCUCAUCAGCAGAGGUGACCAUGAUGGAGUCCCAGAAUUGCAAAAGAGCUCCAGCAUGGACUGAACGGGAGGUACGGGAUCUGAUCGCUGUAUGGGGAGAGGAAUCCGUGCUAUCAGAACUCCGUUCCAGUUUUCGAAAUGCCAAAACCUUUGUCAAAAUCUCCCAGGGCAUGAAGGACAGAGGCCAUAACAGGGACCUGAAGCAGUGCCGCGUGAAACUGAAGGAGCUGAGGCAAGCCUACCAGAAAACCAGAGAGGCGAACGGCCACUCCGGGUCAGAGCCCCAAACAUGCCGCUUCUAUGAUGAGCUGCAUGCCAUUUUAGGGGGUUCAGCCACCACUACCCCAGCCGUGUUGUUUGACUCCUUCAAUGGAGAUGGAGGCAAUACGGAAGCAGGUUUUGGGGACGAAGAAGAUGAUAGCUCACAGCAAACAAGCGGAGAAACCGGUUUUCCCGACAACCAGGAACUGUUUCUUACCCUGGACCUGGAGCCAAUACCCCCCCGAACCCACCCAAGGCUGCCUCCUGGACCCAGCAGGCGGAGAAGAGACCUCCGCUGCAUGUGUUUCAGUGAUCACAGGAUCUUCUCCUUCCCAGAGGCUAGUGAAGAUUAGAAAGAAAAAAAAACGCACUCGAGAUGAAAUGUUCUCCGAGCUCAUGCUGUCCUCCCACACUGACAGAGCACAGACGAAUGCGUGGAGGCAAAUAAUGUCAGAGUGCAGGAAAGCACAAAAUGACUGGGAGGAGAGGUGGCGGGCUGAAGAGAGUAAGUGGCGGGCUGAAGACAGGGCUGAAGCUCAAAUGUGGCGGCAGCGUGAUGAGAGGAGGCAGGAUUCAAUGCUGAGGCUGCUGGAGGACCAAACCAGUAUGCUCCAGUGUAUGGUUGAGCUGCAGCAAAGGCAGCUGGAGCACAGACUGCCACUACAGUCCCUGUGUAACCAACCGCCCUCCUCCACAAGUUCCAUAGCCUCCACACCCAGACGCCCAAGAACGCGGUGGGGGGGCCACCGGCCAACCAGCCACUCCGCCACAGAGGAUUGCCCAAAAAAAAGAAGGCUGGCAUUCAAUAAAUUCUAAAGUUGUAAACUUUUAAAGUGCAGUGUGGCAUUUUCCUUCCCUCUUCCACCACCCCUCCUGGGCUACCUUGGUGGUCAUCCUCCUAUUUGUGUGAUGAAUGAAUAAAGAAUGCAUG
Caretta caretta (loggerhead turtle) is the source of this 2769-nucleotide non-coding RNA. The record is from RefSeq and is a predicted model, not a curated record. NCBI's taxonomy places the organism in Eukaryota, Metazoa, Chordata, Testudines, Cheloniidae.